Molecule: long non-coding RNA, 134 nt
Organism: Alosa sapidissima (American shad)
Lineage: Eukaryota; Metazoa; Chordata; Actinopteri; Clupeiformes; Clupeidae
Exons: 3
Source: RefSeq, a predicted model, not a curated record
UCUGGUGUCCAGGCCAAGAUACAUAGGCAGCCCGGAGUUGGGAGAUGCACCAGCGUCGCAUAAGUCUGGUGUGUGCGAACAUUUUGGAUUUAGAAAACGGUAGAUAGAACUGCGACUGUGUGCAGGCGUUGUGC